GGCUCAGAACGAACGCUGGCGGCGCGCCUAAUACAUGCAAGUCGAACGAGAAUGUGUAGCAAUACACAUGUACAGUGGCGAACGGGUGAGGACUACAUGGGUAACCUACCCUCGAGUGGGGAAUAACUAGCCGAAAGGUUAGCUAAUACCGCGUACGCUUCCCGGACUGCGGUUCGGGAAGGAAUGCGAUACCGUGGGUAUCGCGCUCUUGGAUGGGCUCAUGCCCUAUCAGCUUGUUGGUGAGGUAACGGCUCACCAAGGCUUCGACGGGUAGCUGAUCUGAGAGGAUGAUCAGCCACACUGGCACUGCGACACGGGCCAGACUCCUACGGGAGGCAGCAGUAAGGAAUAUUGCGCAAUGGGCGAAAGCCUGACGCAGCGACGCCGCGUGGGGGAUGAAGGUCUUCGGAUUGUAAACCCCUUUCGGGAGGGAAGAUGGGAUGGGGUAACCCAUUCGGACGGUACCUCCAGAAGCAGCCACGGCUAACUUCGUGCCAGCAGCCGCGGUAAUACGAAGGUGGCAAGCGUUGUUCGGAUUUACUGGGCGUACAGGGAGCGUAGGCGGUUGGGUAAGCCCUCCGUGAAAUCUCCAGGCUUAACCUGGAAAGUGCAGAGGGGACUGCUCAGCUAGAGGAUGGGAGAGGAGCGCGGAAUUCCCGGUGUAGCGGUGAAAUGCGUAGAGAUCGGGAGGAAGGCCGGUGGCGAAGGCGGCGCUCUGGAACAUUUCUGACGCUGAGGCUCGAAAGCGUGGGGAGCAAACAGGAUUAGAUACCCUGGUAGUCCACGCCUUAAACGAUGGAUACUAAGUGUCGGCGGGUUACCGCCGGUGCCGCAGCUAACGCAGUAAGUAUCCCGCCUGG
This 860-nucleotide ribosomal RNA is filed under the name uncultured bacterium. RNAcentral describes it as "bacterial SSU rRNA". It matches the Rfam family "Bacterial small subunit ribosomal RNA", at positions 21 to 876 of the family's 1533-position model. The record is from RNAcentral.